AGGACUCACUGAGCACAGACCACACAUGCAUCAGGAACCUGCCCAGCAUAACCUGUAGCCAUCCCUGCAGCCUCAUGUGGUAGGCGCCCUCUUACCCCGUCUUUCAGAUGAGAGUGAAGAAGAUCAGAGAGGUGUAGUGACCCGACCUUGUCAUGCAGCUUCGUAAGUGGAGCAGGGUUCAAACCCAAGCAACCUGAACCCCAAGCCUGAGCUUGUCCACCAGUCCACGCUGCUAUGCCCUCACUUUCUGGGGCCUCACAGUUGGCACUUGGCACUCAGCACAAGUUGGCCAAAGCAGAGAGCUUGGGCCCCCCAGCAGCGGGGCUGUCUGUCUGAGGAGGUGGGGCCCAGGCACCUCUUUUCCUGGGACCAGCCCUCUUGCUUGGUUCUGAUAUGCCUGCGAUGGGGGUUUCUCCCACAGCUGCAGAAGCCAGGCCGCCUGCCUGACACAGCACUGCCUACGCUUCAGAAUGGGGCGGCUGUAAUGGAUCUGGUCUGGGAUCCCUUUGAUCCGCACCGGCUUGCUGUGGGUAAGGGGCCUGGGUACCCAGGG
RNAcentral lists this long non-coding RNA (553 nucleotides) under Rattus norvegicus (Norway rat). RNAcentral's name for it is "long non-coding RNA NONRATT004015". The record is from RNAcentral. Lineage: Eukaryota; Metazoa; Chordata; Mammalia; Rodentia; Muridae.